This 235-nucleotide ribosomal RNA is filed under the name Prymnesium polylepis. RNAcentral describes it as "partial Bacterial large subunit ribosomal RNA". It matches the Rfam family "Bacterial large subunit ribosomal RNA", at positions 2614 to 2850 of the family's 2925-position model. The record is from RNAcentral. Lineage: Eukaryota; Haptophyta; Prymnesiales; Prymnesiaceae.
GAACGUCGUGAGACAGUUCGGUCCCUAUCCGUCGUGGGCGUAGGAAAUUUGAGAGGAGCUGUCCUUAGUACGAGAGGACCGGGAUGGACAUACCUCUGGUGUACCAGUUGUCGUGCCAACGGCAUAGCUGGGUAGCUAUGUAUGGACGGGAUAAGUGCUGAAAGCAUCUAAGCAUGAAGCCCCCCUCAAGAUGAGAUUUCCCAACUUCGGUUAUAAGAUCCCUCAGAGAUGAUGA